AACCUAACCUGACUAGGACUUGUCCGAAAGGCAUGGUUGCAAAUCUCAACAAAGGUACGACGCUCGUCGUUUAGGUAUUCUUUGUUGAGUCAUAACUGGAAACGGUUGUGGGUGAUCUUCGGGUCAUC
RNAcentral lists this small RNA (128 nucleotides) under unclassified sequences. Its description in RNAcentral is "LOOT RNA". It matches the Rfam family "LOOT RNA". Rfam says of the family: Latescibacteria, OD1/Parcubacteria, OP11, TM7. Lineage (Microgenomates, aka OP11) The record is from Rfam by way of RNAcentral.